GAUGAACGCUAGCGGCAGGCCUAACACAUGCAAGUCGAGGGCAGCACGUCUUCGGAUGGUGGCGACCGGCGCACGGGUGCGUAACGCGUAUGCAACCUACCUCUUACAGUGGGAUAGCCCAGAGAAAUUUGGAUUAAUACCGCAUAGUAUACAGAUUCAGCAUUGGGACUGUAUUAAACNUUUAUGGGUAAGAGAUGGGCAUGCGUUCUAUUAGUUAGUUGGAGUGGUAACGGCACCCCAAGACAGCGAUAGAUAGGGGCCCUGAGAGGGGGAUCCCCCANACUGGUACUGAGACACGGACCAGACUCCUACGGGAGGCAGCAGUGAGGAAUAUUGGACAAUGGCGAGAGCCUGAUCCAGCCAUGCCGCGUGCAGGAAGACGGCCCUA
RNAcentral lists this ribosomal RNA (388 nucleotides) under uncultured bacterium. RNAcentral's name for it is "bacterial SSU rRNA". It matches the Rfam family "Bacterial small subunit ribosomal RNA", at positions 28 to 419 of the family's 1533-position model. The record is from RNAcentral.